AUUGAACGCUGGCGGCAGGCCUAACACAUGCAAGUCGAGCGAGCGGCGGACGGGUGAGUAAUGUCUGGGAAACUGCCUGAUGGAGGGGGAUAACUACUGGAAACGGUAGCUAAUACCGCAUACCAUCAGAUGUGCCCAGAUGGGAUUAGCUAGUAGGUGGGGUAACGGCUCACCCAGGCGACGAUCCCUAGCUGGUCUGAGAGGAUGACCAGCCACACUGGAAAUGGGACACGGUACAGAAUCCAACGGGAGGCAGCAGUGGGGAAUAUUGCACAAUGGGCGCAAUCCUGAUGCAGCCAAGCCGCGAGUGUGAAGAAGGACUUAGGGUUGUAAAGCACUUUCAGCGGGGAGGCGUUACCCGCAGAAGAAGCACCGGCUAACUCCGUGCCAGCCGCCGCGGUAAUUC
RNAcentral lists this ribosomal RNA (406 nucleotides) under uncultured bacterium. RNAcentral describes it as "partial 16S ribosomal RNA". It matches the Rfam family "Bacterial small subunit ribosomal RNA", at positions 30 to 526 of the family's 1533-position model. The record is from RNAcentral.